This 481-nucleotide ribosomal RNA is filed under the name Peptostreptococcaceae bacterium canine oral taxon 071. RNAcentral's name for it is "bacterial SSU rRNA". It matches the Rfam family "Bacterial small subunit ribosomal RNA", at positions 9 to 474 of the family's 1533-position model. Lineage: Bacteria; Bacillati; Bacillota; Clostridia; Peptostreptococcales; Peptostreptococcaceae. The record is from RNAcentral.
GAGUUUGAUUCUGGCUCAGGAUGAACGCUGGCGGCGUGCUUAACACAUGCAAGUCGAACGAAGCGAGAAGAAAGAAGUUUUUCGAAAUGGAUUUUUUCUUUGCUUAGUGGCGGACGGGUGCGUAACACGUAGGUAACCUGCCCUGUGCUUGGGAAUAACUCCGGGAAACCGGUGCUAAUGCCGAAUAAUAUCGCCUGUCGGCAUCGAGAGGCGAUCAAAGAAUUUUGGCACAGGAUGGGCCUGCGCCGGAUUAGCUGGUUGGUGAGGUAACGGCUCACCAAGGCGACGAUCCGUAGCCGACCUGAGAGGGUGAUCGGCCACACUGGAACUGAGACACGGUCCAGACUCCUACGGGAGGCAGCAGUGGGGAAUAUUGCACAAUGGGGGAAACCCUGAUGCAGCAACGCCGCGUGAGCGAUGAAGGCUUUCGAGUCGUAAAGCUCUGUCCUAUGGGAAGAUGAUGANCGUACNUAGAGAGCCG